GACGGAGGGUGCUAGCGUUGUUCGGAAUCACUGGGCGUAAAGGGCGCGUAGGCGGCUUUGGCAGUCGGCUUGUGAAAGCCCGGGGCUCAACCCCGGAGGUGCGGCCGAUACACCAAGGCUGGAGGCCGGAAGAGGAGGGUGGAAUACCCAGUGUAGAGGUGAAAUUCGUAGAUAUUGGGUGGAACACCGGUGGCGAAAGCGGCUCUCUGGUCCGGUCCUGACGCUGAGGCGCGAAAGCGUGGGGAGCAAACAG
RNAcentral lists this ribosomal RNA (253 nucleotides) under uncultured prokaryote. RNAcentral describes it as "partial 16S ribosomal RNA". It matches the Rfam family "Bacterial small subunit ribosomal RNA", at positions 524 to 775 of the family's 1533-position model. The record is from RNAcentral.